GUCACGUCCCGCGCCAGCUUUGGAUGAAGAGUGGCCCAAACAGAAGGACACAGCUUCAGUCAGACUCACUUUACAAGGCUGUCAAAGACGCAAGCACCAGCUGCGAGAGUAGACCUGAAACGAGCACGUGGAGCUGGCUCCACACGCAUCUUCACCGGAAACGGUCUAAAUGGCUUCAGAUAUAAGACAGUCGACAUCUACGAGAUGGUGGCAGCCGCCAUUUUGUGAUGUGCUUGGCCUCAGAGAGGUGAAGUAUAUUUCCUGAGGGCCUCCUGACUAGAGCGCGAAAGAGGCUCCCCCACAAGCCUGCCAACACGCUCCCAGAUUUCCAUGAGCGGCCGAGUCCACCUUGACCCGCAGCCCACGCCGGUGCAGGGCCAGGCCAAAAACCUGCUGGAUUUGCCAAUUGGAAGUACUGACCUACGACUUACCCGUUCCCGAUGCAUUCGGACAGGGGAUUCCGGAGUGAAGCUGCUCCACUCUGGGACAGGUGCCAAUUGCUCACAAAAGGCGAGUGAAAAUAUCAGUGAUCUGCACAAGGAAACGUCGGGGGUGAGUGGAAAAUGCAAACUCGCAUGCAUCCGUGCAACUAACGCAGAAAAAAGUGAAGGAUGGUUGCGAGGGGAGGGGAAGACACAGAAAAAGAGGAUCGUGAAAGAAGAGGUGGGGGCGUUUAUUCAAGCCUGUUUGAUGCUCCUCGGGCCUUCGAGAGCCGAUCGCAUGUGCCGUGGUAACUGCGGGACCAUUUGCAUGUGGCAGACACGCUAA
Long non-coding RNA from Cyprinus carpio (common carp), 768 nucleotides. NCBI's taxonomy places the organism in Eukaryota, Metazoa, Chordata, Actinopteri, Cypriniformes, Cyprinidae. The record is from Ensembl.